ACGGGUGAGUAACGCGUGGGAAUCUACCCAUCUCUACGGAACAACUCCGGGAAACUGGAGCUAAUACCGUAUACGUCCUUCGGGAGAAAGAUUUAUCGGAGAUGGAUGAGCCCGCGUUGGAUUAGCUAGUUGGUGGGGUAAUGGCCUACCAAGGCGACGAUCCAUAGCUGGUCUGAGAGGAUGAUCAGCCACACUGGGACUGAGACACGGCCCAGACUCCUACGGGAGGCGGCAGUGGGGAAUAUUGGACAAUGGGCGCAAGCCUGAUCCAGCCAUGCCGCGUGAGUGAUGAAGGCCCUAGGGUUGUAAAGCUCUUUCAACGGUGAAGAUAAUGACGGUAACCGUAGAAGAAGCCCCGGCUAACUUCGUGCCAGCAGCCGCGGUAAUACGAAGGGGGCUAGCGUUGUUCGGAAUUACUGGGCGUAAAGCGCACGUAGGCGGAUACUUAAGUCAGGGGUGAAAUCCCGGGGCUCAACCCCGGAACUGCCUUUGAUACUGGGUAUCUCGAGUCCGGAAGAGGUGAGUGGAAUUCCGAGUGUAGAGGUGAAAUUCGUAGA
RNAcentral lists this ribosomal RNA (557 nucleotides) under uncultured bacterium. RNAcentral's name for it is "bacterial SSU rRNA". It matches the Rfam family "Bacterial small subunit ribosomal RNA", at positions 102 to 694 of the family's 1533-position model. The record is from RNAcentral.